GCUGGCGGCAUAUUCUAACACAUGUCGUCGAGCGCAUCCUUCGGGGUGAGCGGCGGACGGGUGAGUAUCGCGUGGGAACGUGCCCUUCCCUACGGAAUAGUCUCGGGAAACUGGGGGUAAUACCGUAUACGCCCUUUUGGGGAAAGAUUUAUCGGAGAAGGAUCGGCCCGCGUUGGAUUAGGUAGUUGGUGGGGUAAUGGCUCACCAAGCCGACGAUCCAUAGCUGGUUUGAGAGGAUGAUCAGCCACACUGGGACUGAGACACGGCCCAGACUCCUACGGGAGGCAGCAGUGGGGAAUCUUAGACAAUGGGGGCAACCCUGAUCUAGCCAUGCCGCGUGAGUGAUGAAGGCCCUAGGGUUGUAAAGCUCUUUCAGCUGUGAAGAUAAUGACGGUAGCAGCAGAAAAAAUCCCGGCUAACUCC
Molecule: ribosomal RNA, 423 nt
Filed under: uncultured bacterium
Lineage: Bacteria
Description: bacterial SSU rRNA
Rfam family: Bacterial small subunit ribosomal RNA
Source: RNAcentral